UACGGGGGGAGGCAAGCGUUGUUCGGAUUUACUGGGCGUAAAGGGCGCGUAGGCGGUCGUGACAAGUCACUUGUGAAAUCUCCGGGCUUAACUCGGAACGGUCAAGUGAUACUGUCGGACUAGAGUACAGAAGGGGCAACUGGAAUUCUCGGUGUAGCGGUGAAAUGCGUAGAUAUCGAGAGGAACACCUGCGGCGAAGGCGGGUUGCUGGGCUGACACUGACGCUGAGGCGCGAAAGCUAGGGGAGCGAACGGG
RNAcentral lists this ribosomal RNA (255 nucleotides) under uncultured bacterium. Its description in RNAcentral is "partial 16S ribosomal RNA". It matches the Rfam family "Bacterial small subunit ribosomal RNA", at positions 524 to 776 of the family's 1533-position model. The record is from RNAcentral.